This 253-nucleotide ribosomal RNA is filed under the name uncultured bacterium. RNAcentral describes it as "partial 16S ribosomal RNA". It matches the Rfam family "Bacterial small subunit ribosomal RNA", at positions 524 to 776 of the family's 1533-position model. The record is from RNAcentral. RNAcentral also lists the same sequence under 1 other name.
UACGUAGGGGGCAAGCGUUAUCCGGAUUUACUGGGUGUAAAGGGAGCGUAGACGGUGUGGUAAGUCAGAUGUGAAAGCCCGGGGCUCAACCCCGGGACUGCAUUUGAAACUAUCAUGCUAGAGUGCAGGAGAGGUAAGUGGAAUUCCUAGUGUAGCGGUGAAAUGCGUAGAUAUUAGGAGGAACACCAGUGGCGAAGGCGGCUUACUGGACUGUAACUGACGUUGAGGCUCGAAAGCGUGGGGAGCAAACAGG